Molecule: ribosomal RNA, 468 nt
Filed under: uncultured bacterium
Lineage: Bacteria
Description: partial 16S ribosomal RNA
Rfam family: Bacterial small subunit ribosomal RNA
Source: RNAcentral
GACGAACGCUGGCGGCGUGCUUAACACAUGCAAGUCGAACGGAAAGGCCCUGCUUUGUUGGGGUGCUCGAGUGGCGAACGGGUGAGUAACCCUUGAGUAACCUGCCCUUGACUUUGGGAUAACUUCAGGAAACUGGGGCUAAUACCGGCUAGGAGCUCCUGCUGCAUGGUGGGGGUUGGAAAGUUUCGGCGGUUGGUGAUGGACUCGCGGCUUAUCAGGUUGUUGGUGGGGUAGUGGAUUACCAAGGCUUUGACGGGUAGCCGUCCUGAGAGGGUGACCGGCUAAAUCGGGACUGAACUACGGCCCAGCCUAGUACGGGACGGAGGAGUGCAGAAUAUUGUACAAUGGGCGGAAGGAUGAUGCAGCAAAGCAGCGUGGGGGAUGACGGGAAUGGGGUUGUAAUCUGAUUCCGCCUGUGACGAAGUGUGAGUGACGGUAAUGGGUGAAGAAGCACCGGCUAACUACGUG